GGCAGUUCUCAGGUGACAUUCCCUGGAACUGGGCUCCCUCCUCUCUGCUUCCGGGGUGCGUCACCCAGAACCGCC
Molecule: non-coding RNA, 75 nt
Organism: Myotis davidii
Lineage: Eukaryota; Metazoa; Chordata; Mammalia; Chiroptera; Vespertilionidae
Source: Rfam